Molecule: ribosomal RNA, 254 nt
Filed under: uncultured bacterium
Lineage: Bacteria
Description: partial 16S ribosomal RNA
Rfam family: Bacterial small subunit ribosomal RNA
Source: RNAcentral
GACGAACCGUGCGAACGUUAUUCGGAAUCAUUGGGCUUAAAGGGCGCGUAGGCGGCGGUGUAAGUUGGACGUGAAAUCCCAUCGGCUCAACCGUGGAAUUGCUCCCAGUACUGCAUCGCUCGAGGGGGAUAGGGGUUUGCGGAACUACCGGUGGAGCGGUGAAAUGUGUUGAUAUCGGUGGGAACGCCAGUGGCGAAAGCGGCAAACUUGACCCUUCCUGACGCUGAGGCGCGAAAGCUAGGGGAGCAAACGGG